Molecule: ribosomal RNA, 500 nt
Filed under: uncultured bacterium
Lineage: Bacteria
Description: partial 16S ribosomal RNA
Rfam family: Bacterial small subunit ribosomal RNA
Source: RNAcentral
AUUGAAUGCUGGCGGCAUGCCUUACACAUGCAAGUCGAACGGAUUCAAGAGGCUUGCUUCUUGAGUUAGUGGCGAACGGGUGAGUAAAGCAUCGGAACGUACCCAGUUGUGGGGGAUAACGUAGCGAAAGUUACGCUAAUACCGCAUACGCACUGAGGUGGAAAGCGGGGGACCGAAAGGCCUCGUGCAAUUGGAGCGGCCGAUGUCGGAGUAGCUGGUGGGUGAGGUAAAGGCUCACCAAGGCGACGAUCCGUAGCUGGUCUGAGAGGACGACCAGCCACACUGGAACUGAGGCACGGUCCAGACUCCUACGGGAGGCAGCAGUGGGGAAUUUUGGACAAUGGGCGAAAGCCUGAUCCAGCCACGCCGCGUGAGUGAAGAAGGCCUUCGGGUUGUAAAGCUCUUUCAGACGGAAAGAAAUCUUUCGGGUGAAUAUCCCGGAAGGAUGACGGUACCGUAAGAAGAAGCACCGGCUAACUACGUGCCAGCAGCCGCCGUAA